Molecule: ribosomal RNA, 431 nt
Filed under: uncultured Elusimicrobium sp.
Lineage: Bacteria; Pseudomonadati; Elusimicrobiota; Elusimicrobia; Elusimicrobiales; Elusimicrobiaceae
Description: bacterial SSU rRNA
Rfam family: Bacterial small subunit ribosomal RNA
Source: RNAcentral
AACGCGAAGAACCUUACCUGGGCUUGAACUACUCGUGGUAAGCCGAUGGAAACAUUGGCUGACCCGCAAGGGAGCGAGCAGAGGUGCUGCAUGGUUGUCGUCAGCUCGUGUCGUGAGAUGUUGGGUUAAGUCCCGCAACGAGCGCAACCCCUACUCGAUGUUGCUAAUCCCGCAAGGGAUGCACUCUUCGAGAACUGCCUUCGAUAAGAAGGAGGAAGGUGGGGACGACGUCAAAUCCUCAUGGCCCUUAUGUCCAGGGCUACACACGUGCUACAAUGGCCGGUACAACGGGAAGCAAUACCGCAAGGUGGAGCAAAACCCUGAAAGCCGGCCUCAGUUCAGAUCGUGGGCUGCAACUCGCCCGCGUGAAGGCGGAAUCGCUAGUAAUCGCGAAUCAGCAGGUCGCGGUGAAUACGUUCCCGGGCCUUGUA